This 500-nucleotide ribosomal RNA is filed under the name uncultured bacterium. RNAcentral describes it as "bacterial SSU rRNA". It matches the Rfam family "Bacterial small subunit ribosomal RNA", at positions 28 to 507 of the family's 1533-position model. The record is from RNAcentral.
GACGAACACUGGCGGCGUGCCUAAUACAUGCAAGUCGAGCGGAAUGAUGAAGAAGCUUGCUUCUUCUGAUUUUAGCGGCGGACGGGUGAGUAACACGUGGGCAACCUACCUUGUAGAUUGGGAUAACUCCGGGAAACCGGGGCUAAUACCGAAUAAUCCAUUUUGCUUCAUGGCGAGAUGUUGAAAGACGGUUUCGGCUGUCACUAUAAGAUGGGCCCGCGGCGCAUUAGCUAGUUGGUAGGGUAAUGGCCUACCAAGGCGACGAUGCGUAGCCGACCUGAGAGGGUGAUCGGCCACACUGGGACUGAGACACGGCCCAGACUCCUACGGGAGGCAGCAGUAGGGAAUCUUCCACAAUGGACGAAAGUCUGAUGGAGCAACGCCGCGUGAGUGAAGAAGGUUUUCGGAUCGUAAAACUCUGUUGUAAGGGAAGAACACGUACGAGAGUAACUGCUCGUACCUUGACGGUACCUUAUUAGAAAGCCACGGCUAACUACGUG